AACGAACGCUGGCGGCAUGCCUAACACAUGCAAGUCGAACGAUGCCUUCGGGCAUAGUGGCGCACGGGUGCGUAACGCGUGGGAAUCUGCCCUUGGGUUCGGAAUAACUCAGAGAAAUUUGAGCUAAUACCGGAUGAUGACGUAAGUCCAAAGAUUUAUCGCCCAAGGAUGAGCCCGCGUAAGAUUAGCUAGUUGGUGGGGUAAAGGCCUACCAAGGCGACGAUCUUUAGCUGGUCUGAGAGGAUGAUCAGCCACACUGGGACUGAGACACGGCCCAGACUCCUACGGGAGGCAGCAGUGGGGAAUAUUGGACAAUGGGCGAAAGCCUGAUCCAGCAAUGCCGCGUGAGUGAUGAAGGCCUUAGGGUUGUAAAGCUCUUUUACCAGGGAUGAUAAUGACAGUACCUGGAGAAUAAGCUCCGGCUAACUCCGUGCCAGCAGCCGCGGUAAU
RNAcentral lists this ribosomal RNA (450 nucleotides) under uncultured bacterium. RNAcentral describes it as "bacterial SSU rRNA". It matches the Rfam family "Bacterial small subunit ribosomal RNA", at positions 29 to 524 of the family's 1533-position model. The record is from RNAcentral.